RNAcentral lists this long non-coding RNA (652 nucleotides) under Homo sapiens (human). RNAcentral describes it as "HSALNT0076480". Lineage: Eukaryota; Metazoa; Chordata; Mammalia; Primates; Hominidae. The record is from RNAcentral.
CUGUUUAGAUUCUACCCCUGAAAGGUACCAUACAAUAUUUGGAAGUCAGUCCUGAAAGGAUUAUAAAAGCAAGAAAGAAACAUGGACUCUAAGAAUUAACAACAGUGUGGGAAGCCACGGAGGAGAUUUAUGACUACCCUAAAUUGGUUUGUGUUUGGAUGGAUGACUAUUUCCUGCUCUUUAUUACUAGAAAUUGGCAGCAACAUCUCAGAUUGGAUAAUGGUACUGGUGGAAUAAUUACCAGAAAGAAAAAAACAUCCCCACUAAAGUGAUGAAAACAUGUACAGAUUGUCCAACCUUUUGCUUUUGUACCACUUCCCCUUCCAGAUGUCAGGGUUGUGAUUUAUUUCUCCCUAAGAGUUUAAAAAUAAAACUCUCAUCAUAAAAUUUGCCUGAUACUGAUGAAAAAUAAGAUGUAGUAAUUUAGGCUUUCAGACUAGACUCAGAAAUAGAAUCCAUUAAUAUUUUUUUACUAGGGAUCCAUUUAAAAACAUCUAAACAUGAUGAAAAUGAAAGAAUGGAGAGAAAUAUGCCAGGUAAAUAUAAACUUAAAAGAAAGCUGGGGAAACUAUCAAUAUCUGACAAAAAUAGAUUUUCAUGUAAAAAAAUGUGGCACACAUACACCAUGGAAUACUAUGCAGCCAUAAAAAAG